Podarcis lilfordi (Lilford's wall lizard) is the source of this 774-nucleotide non-coding RNA. Lineage: Eukaryota; Metazoa; Chordata; Lepidosauria; Squamata; Lacertidae. The record is from the annotation of a GenBank genome assembly.
GCUGAUGAAAACCAUGACAAUUAAAAAAAUGAAAACAAAACCACAAUAAGGUUUUUAGUGUGAGUAUGCCCAGGGGCAUAGAAAGCGGGGUGCGGGGAGUGCGGCUCACCCCGGGUGUCAUCCCUGGGGGGGGGGGGAAUAUGGCACACCGUUGGGGGCAGCACUUACUGGGGGGGCCUGGCCUGCAGUGUGCCCGAGCCAUGCAUCUCUCCUGGGAGUGACGCGGUGGCUUGGGGCCCUGCGCUGCCCAAAAUGGCAGUGUGGGGCUUCCAUCCACCAGGUGGACUCCGUGGGCAGCUCACUGUGCUGCCCCCCCCCCCGGUGGAUUGCCCCGCUCCCACCGCUCCGGGUACCAGAGCAGCUAGCUACCCCCCUGGGUAUGCCCUCCUGAGAUCAUGAUUUUCCUAUGCUAGUGUCGGGGACCGUGCUGAGGAGGGCUGCACUGAGGAGGAUAGUUCGGAGCUCCCCCUCCCCCCAUCCUGAAUCUUCCCAGGAGCAGAAGGACAGUAUAGAUUUGGAACAGUGGUUUGCAGAGGGGCAUAGUUCCAAAGGCAGAAGCUGGGAAAUCCUGGAAGGGGAACAGCUAAGAGAAGAUGCACCGGGAGAGAGAGAGAAAGUGAACAGAUUUGCUGUCUCUGGUAAGCAUCCAUCCGCUCAGCCCAAGGUCAAGAAGAGCAGAUAAGAUGGCAGCACAGAAAGCACAGUGGUUAGGAGCUCAGGUUACAAGACGCGGUAGUGACAUGGGUGAGUAGGGAGGAAGUGGGUGGAACCCUU